RNAcentral lists this ribosomal RNA (468 nucleotides) under uncultured bacterium. Its description in RNAcentral is "partial 16S ribosomal RNA". It matches the Rfam family "Bacterial small subunit ribosomal RNA", at positions 28 to 507 of the family's 1533-position model. The record is from RNAcentral.
GACGAACGCUGGCGGCGUGCUUAACACAUGCAAGUCGAACGGAAAGGCCCUGCUUUUUUGUCGUUCUCGUGUGGCGAUCGUGUGACUUACACGUGCGUCACCUGCCCUUGUCUUUACCCUAUCUUCCGGUAACUGGUGCUAAUUCCGCAUCGGCUCUCCUUCUGCUUUGUGUGGUUUGUUUUUUUUCUGCGGUUGGGGAUGGACUCGCGGGUUAUCAGCUUGUUGGUGGGGUCGUGGCUUACCAAGGCUUUGACGGGUAGCCGGCCUGAGAGGGUGAACGGGCACAGUGGGACUGAGAUACGGCCCAGACUCGUACGGGAGGCAGCAGUGGGGAAUAUUGCAGAAUGGGAGGAAGCCUGAUGCAGCAAAGCCGCGUGAGGGAUGACGGCCUUCGGGUUGUAAACCGCUUUCGGCAGGGACGAAGAGUGAGUGACGGUAAUGGGAAAAGAAGCACCGGCUAACUACGUG